This 497-nucleotide ribosomal RNA is filed under the name uncultured bacterium. RNAcentral describes it as "partial 16S ribosomal RNA". It matches the Rfam family "Bacterial small subunit ribosomal RNA", at positions 28 to 507 of the family's 1533-position model. The record is from RNAcentral.
GAUGAACGCUGGCGGCGUGCCUAAUACAUGCAAGUCGAGCGAACAGACGAGGAGCUUGCUCCUCUGACGUUAGCGGCGGACGGGUGAGUAACACGUGGAUAACCUACCUAUAAGACUGGGAUAACUUCGGGAAACCGGAGCUAAUACCGGAUAACAUGUUGAACCGCAUGGUUCAACAGUGAAAGACGGUCUUGCUGUCACUUAUAGAUGGAUCCGCGCCGCAUUAGCGAGUUGGUAAGGUAACGGCUUACCAAGGCAACGAUGCGUAGGCGACCUCAGAGGGUGAUCGGCCACCCUGGAACUGAGCCACGGUCCAGACGCCUACGGGAGGCAGCAGUAGGGAAUCUUCCGCAAUGGGCGAAAGCCUGACGGAGCAACGCCGCGUGAGUGAAGAAGGUCUUCGGAUCGUAAAACUCUGUUAUUAGGGAAGAACAAAUGUGUAAGUAACUAUGCACGUCUUGACGGUACCUAAUCAGAAAGCCACGGCUAACUACGUG